RNAcentral lists this ribosomal RNA (480 nucleotides) under uncultured bacterium. Its description in RNAcentral is "partial 16S ribosomal RNA". It matches the Rfam family "Bacterial small subunit ribosomal RNA", at positions 28 to 507 of the family's 1533-position model. The record is from RNAcentral.
GACGAACGCUGGCGGCGUGCUUAACACAUGCAAGUCGAACGAUGAAGAAAAGAAUCGAAGCUUCGGCAGAAAUUCAUUUCGGAUUAGUGGCAGACGGGUGAGUAACGCGUGAGCAACCUACCUCUUACAAAGGGAUAGCCUCGGGAAACCGGGAUUAAUAUCAUAUAACAUUGCGACGAAGCAUUUCGAUGCAAUCAAAGCUACGGCGGUAAGAGAUGGGCUCGCGUCCCAUUAACCGGAUGGUGAGGUAACGGCUCACCAUAGUGACGAUGGGUAACCGGCCUGAGAGGGUGAACGGUCACACUGGAACUGAGACACGGUCCAGACUCCUACGGGAGGCAGCAGUGGGGAAUAUUGCACAAUGGAGGGAACUCUGAUGCAGCGACGCCGCGUGAGUGAUGAAGGAAUUCGUUUCGUAAAACUCUGUUCUAUGGGAAGAAAAGGACUGUACCAUAGGAGAAAGCUCCGGCUAAAUACGUG